This 73-nucleotide transfer RNA is filed under the name Dinophyceae sp. MGD. RNAcentral's name for it is "tRNA-Arg". It matches the Rfam family "tRNA". Rfam says of the family: Transfer RNA (tRNA) molecules are approximately 80 nucleotides in length. Their secondary structure includes four short double-helical elements and three loops (D, anti-codon, and T loops). Lineage: Eukaryota; Dinophyceae. The record is from RNAcentral.
GAACUAGUAGCUUAUCGGAUAAAGUAUGGAUUUCCGAAGUCCAAGAGUGUGGGUUCGAAUCCCACCUAGUUCU